This is a long non-coding RNA of Anas platyrhynchos (mallard), 1144 nucleotides long. RefSeq lists it as uncharacterized. NCBI's taxonomy places the organism in Eukaryota, Metazoa, Chordata, Aves, Anseriformes, Anatidae. The record is from RefSeq and is a predicted model, not a curated record.
ACUCAGUGGUGUUUGACUGGUUGGUUUUUGUUCCUUUGUUUAUUUUAAAUCUAAAGAGAGAUGAUUACUGCUCUGCACGCAAAUGGGUCAAGCUAACAGAAUACAAAGCAGUUUUCUACCCCAAAGCAUCCCUCUGGAAGAAAACUCAAGAGGAAAGCACGCCUGAGGCAACCCAGCAAGACACAGUCCCUCUCAAAGAGCCAAGGACACUGCAAUCACAGCAUCUCAAUUCAGCGUGAGUGAAGAUUCGAGUCCUGCCAAGUCCAGAAAUCACCAGGAAUUGGGAUCAGGAAAAUGCUGCUUUGCAGAAGAUGCCAUUACACUCCCACUCUGACCCUACUAUGUCUCACUGAGUGCAAGAUGGAGUAAUACAGAUGCUAGUAGGUCAGAGGACAAAGUCGUGGAUCACUUCUCAGACAUACUGGUAAAUGUCACCCAGAAAUGUUCAGCGCUGCAGGGCACCAAAGUGCUCUUGGAGACCCAUGGUACCCAGCUUUACACAUCCUUUCAGCACCAAAGUACUUUCAGAAAGCUGGUCUCUGGGUAUUUAACACUUUUUAGACACACCAGGACUUUCAGUGUCUUGUAAGAAGUUCAAACUUUUUUUUCUUUUUUAAGAUAUUUUUCUCCUCUGUUUGUAGAAUUAGCAUUGUACUGCUACAGUUAAACACCUGCUACCUUUACACAAUUUUCUAGAUAAAAUAAUUGUUGGAACUCCACAGGCCUACAAAUGCUUCACAGCAACCUUGCAUUAUUUAAAAUAUAUAUUUGGAAGCGUGUUUUAUUUUUAGUAAUUGUCAUUAUUGUAGACAUUUAUCUCUAUGAAGAAAAGCAUGCUGUCCUUCCUUAAUGACUGACAUUAUAAUAUUACUUUUAUUUGAUAUUACUUUAAACUAAUGCUACUUUUAAAAAGAUCAGUUCAAUAACUUCAAUGGAAUUUACGAAAAUUUACAAAUUAAAUAACAUGGUGUAGUUACUUCAUUUUAGUAAUUAAAUACAACAAUUCAAAAAUUCAAUGUUUGGGGACAUGUCUAAGGACUUACUCCACAAAAUGGCAAAAAUACAUAUUCAGCAGCACAAAGCCAAAAUUAGUCGGAGAUAUCACUUGGGAAUUCAUAUUCGUCUUUGCUCUCCAGCUGUAGCG